RNAcentral lists this ribosomal RNA (2908 nucleotides) under Serratia marcescens. Its description in RNAcentral is "23S ribosomal RNA". It matches the Rfam family "Bacterial large subunit ribosomal RNA". Lineage: Bacteria; Pseudomonadati; Pseudomonadota; Gammaproteobacteria; Enterobacterales; Yersiniaceae. The record is from RNAcentral.
GGUUAAGUGACUAAGCGUACACGGUGGAUGCCUAGGCAGUCAGAGGCGAUGAAGGGCGUGCUAAUCUGCGAAAAGCGUCGGUAAGGUGAUAUGAACCGUUAUAACCGGCGAUACCCGAAUGGGGAAACCCAGUGUGUUUCGACACACUAUCAUGUCAUGAAUACAUAGUGGCAUGAGGCGAACCGGGGGAACUGAAACAUCUAAGUACCCCGAGGAAAAGAAAUCAACCGAGAUUCCCCCAGUAGCGGCGAGCGAACGGGGAGGAGCCCAGAACCUGAAUCGGCUUGUGUGUUAGUGGAAGCGUCUGGAAAGUCGCGCAGUAAAGGGUGAUAGCCCCGUACACUAAAAUGCACAGGUCGUGAGUUCGAUGAGUAGGGCGGGACACGUGACAUCCUGUCUGAAUAUGGGGGGACCAUCCUCCAAGGCUAAAUACUCCUGACUGACCGAUAGUGAACCAGUACCGUGAGGGAAAGGCGAAAAGAACCCCGGCGAGGGGAGUGAAAUAGAACCUGAAACCGUGUACGUACAAGCAGUGGGAGCACCUUCGUGGUGUGACUGCGUACCUUUUGUAUAAUGGGUCAGCGACUUAUAUUUUGUAGCAAGGUUAACCGUAUAGGGGAGCCGUAGGGAAACCGAGUCUUAACUGGGCGACUAGUUGCAAGGUAUAGACCCGAAACCCGGUGAUCUAGCCAUGGGCAGGUUGAAGGUUGGGUAACACUAACUGGAGGACCGAACCGACUAAUGUUGAAAAAUUAGCGGAUGACUUGUGGCUGGGGGUGAAAGGCCAAUCAAACCGGGAGAUAGCUGGUUCUCCCCGAAAGCUAUUUAGGUAGCGCCUCGUGAACUCAUCUUCGGGGGUAGAGCACUGUUUCGGCUAGGGGGCCAUCCCGGCUUACCAAACCGAUGCAAACUCCGAAUACCGAAGAAUGUUAUCACGGGAGACACACGGCGGGUGCUAACGUCCGUCGUGAAGAGGGAAACAACCCAGACCGCCAGCUAAGGUCCCAAAGUCAUGGUUAAGUGGGAAACGAUGUGGGAAGGCAUAGACAGCCAGGAUGUUGGCUUAGAAGCAGCCAUCAUUUAAAGAAAGCGUAAUAGCUCACUGGUCGAGUCGGCCUGCGCGGAAGAUGUAACGGGGCUAAACCAUGCACCGAAGCUGCGGCAGCGACGCUUAGGCGUUGUUGGGUAGGGGAGCGUUCUGUAAGCCGUUGAAGGUGGCCUGUGAGGGUUGCUGGAGGUAUCAGAAGUGCGAAUGCUGACAUAAGUAACGAUAAAGCGGGUGAAAAGCCCGCUCGCCGGAAGACCAAGGGUUCCUGUCCAACGUUAAUCGGGGCAGGGUGAGUCGACCCCUAAGGCGAGGCUGAAAAGCGUAGUCGAUGGGAAACAGGUUAAUAUUCCUGUACUUGGUGUUACUGCGAAGGGGGGACGGAGAAGGCUAGGCUAGCCGGGCGACGGUUGUCCCGGUUUAAGCGUGUAGGGGGUGUGACCUGGUAAAUCCGGUUGCAUAUCAACCCUGAGGCGUGAUGACGAUGCACUACGGUGCAGAAGUAGUUGAUGCCCUGCUUCCAGGAAAAUCCUCUAAGCAUCAGGUAACAUUAAAUCGUACCCCAAACCGACACAGGUGGUCAGGUAGAGAAUACCAAGGCGCUUGAGAGAACUCGGGUGAAGGAACUAGGCAAAAUGGUGCCGUAACUUCGGGAGAAGGCACGCUGGCAUGUAGGUGAAGUCCCUUGCGGAUGGAGCUGAAGCCAGUCGAAGAUACCAGCUGGCUGCAACUGUUUAAUAAAAACACAGCACUGUGCAAACACGAAAGUGGACGUAUACGGUGUGACGCCUGCCCGGUGCUGGAAGGUUAAUUGAUGGGGUCAGCCGCAAGGCGAAGCUCUUGAUCGAAGCCCCAGUAAACGGCGGCCGUAACUAUAACGGUCCUAAGGUAGCGAAAUUCCUUGUCGGGUAAGUUCCGACCUGCACGAAUGGCGUAAUGAUGGCCAGGCUGUCUCCACCCGAGACUCAGUGAAAUUGAACUCGCUGUGAAGAUGCAGUGUACCCGCGGCAAGACGGAAAGACCCCGUGAACCUUUACUAUAGCUUGACACUGAACAUUGAGCCUUGAUGUGUAGGAUAGGUGGGAGGCUUUGAAGCGUGGACGCCAGUCUGCGUGGAGCCAUCCUUGAAAUACCACCCUUUAAUGUUUGAUGUUCUAACUCGGCCCCAUAAUCUGGGGUGAGGACAGUGUCUGGUGGGUAGUUUGACUGGGGCGGUCUCCUCCCAAAGAGUAACGGAGGAGCACGAAGGUUAGCUAAUCACGGUCGGACAUCGUGAGGUUAGUGCAAAGGCAUAAGCUAGCUUGACUGCGAGAGUGACGGCUCGAGCAGGUACGAAAGUAGGUCUUAGUGAUCCGGUGGUUCUGAAUGGAAGGGCCAUCGCUCAACGGAUAAAAGGUACUCCGGGGAUAACAGGCUGAUACCGCCCAAGAGUUCAUAUCGACGGCGGUGUUUGGCACCUCGAUGUCGGCUCAUCACAUCCUGGGGCUGAAGUAGGUCCCAAGGGUAUGGCUGUUCGCCAUUUAAAGUGGUACGCGAGCUGGGUUUAGAACGUCGUGAGACAGUUCGGUCCCUAUCUGCCGUGGGCGUUGGAAGAUUGAGAGGGGUUGCUCCUAGUACGAGAGGACCGGAGUGAACGCACCACUGGUGUUCGGGUUGUCAUGCCAAUGGCAUUGCCCGGUAGCUAAGUGCGGAAAAGAUAAGCGCUGAAAGCAUCUAAGCGCGAAACUUGCCUCAAGAUGAGUCUUCCCUGGGCCUUUAAGGCCCCUGAAGGAACGUUUAAGACUAAGACGUUGAUAGGCUGGGUGUGUAAGUGCAGCGAUGCAUUGAGCUAACCAGUACUAAUGAUCCGUGAGGCUUAACCUU